RNAcentral lists this microRNA (22 nucleotides) under Gallus gallus (chicken). RNAcentral describes it as "microRNA Ros-gga". Lineage: Eukaryota; Metazoa; Chordata; Aves; Galliformes; Phasianidae. The record is from RNAcentral.
CCCAGCGCCGAAUCCCCGCCCC